Molecule: ribosomal RNA, 468 nt
Filed under: uncultured bacterium
Lineage: Bacteria
Description: partial 16S ribosomal RNA
Rfam family: Bacterial small subunit ribosomal RNA
Source: RNAcentral
GACGAACGCUGGCGGCGUGCUUAACACAUGCAAGUCGAACGGAAAGGCCCUGCUUUUGUGGGGUGCUCGAGUGGCGAACGGGUGAGUAACACGUGAGUAACCUGCCCUUGACUUUGGGAUAACUUCAGGAAACUGGGGCUAAUACCGGAUAGGAGCUCCUGCUGCAUGGUGGGGGUUGGAAAGUUUCGGCGGUUGGGGAUGGACUCGCGGUUUAUCAGCUUGUUGGUGGGGUAGUGGCUUACCAAGGCUUUGAAGGGUAGCCGGCCUGGGAGGGUGACCGGCCACAUUGGGACUGAGAUACGGCCCAGCAUCCUACGGGAGGCAGCAGUGGGGAAUAUUGCACAAUGGGCGGGAGCCUGAUGCAGAAACGCCGCGUGCGGGAUGACGUCCUUCGGGUUGUAAACCGAUUUCGCCUGUGACGAAGCGUGAGUGACGGUAAUGGGUAAAGAAGCACCGGCUAACUACGUG